Molecule: long non-coding RNA, 1932 nt
Filed under: Daphnia pulicaria
Lineage: Eukaryota; Metazoa; Arthropoda; Branchiopoda; Diplostraca; Daphniidae
Description: uncharacterized LOC124349171, transcript variant X3
Source: RNAcentral
GUCAGCAGCAGCGGCAGGACCCUCGGCUGGCGCUUUAGAAAAUGAAAGGUGAUUCGCAGGAGUUUCAAAUGGCCGCUCAGCCGGAAGCAGCUGAACUUUAGCGCUGGCCAGCAGCAACAGUCGUUCGUCCUUCAAGUGAAAGUGUGUCGCUGAAUCCCCAAAACACGACACACCACGUCUAUACUUUUGGGUGUUUUGUCUUGCACAAACUUUCCAACGGUUCAAACACGCACACGCACACAACGGCCGCCACGGGUACUUGAAUCAACUGAAAGAUGUGAGGGGGUCCUCCUCCGGAGCACAACACACACGAAUCUCUUGUUUGUUGUUUUAGGUGCGCUUGUAAAAUUGGCCCUGGCUUGCGAAACACUUUUUUUCGUUUUCGGCGGUACUAUUAAAUCUAACCGUCGGUAUUUUUUCGUUUGCAACACGUGAGCAAUGUUGCAACCGUCUCGUCCGGCUGGAACUUUCAAACUAAAAGUCUACUACGUAGGUUCGUACCUCCCCUCUUGCUGCAACGGUCCCUUCUAUCUCUCUCUCUCUUAUUCUUUUUCUCUCUCUCUCUUUCAUUCCCUUAUAUUCUCUUUCAAAGAAAAACAGGGCCCCUUUUAUUGUCCCUCUCUCUUCAGGUCUUCAAACAGAGAAAAGAAAAAAGGAGAGCCUGGGCUCUUACAUGCUAUUUCUCUUUCCGCUUCCCAAAAUAUUUUGUACAUUUGUGUGUUCGGUCUGUGUGUGUGUGUCCGACGUUUUGUUUGCUCUUUCCUCUACAACCCAACAGCGAAGAAAUGAAAUUCCUGUUGUAUUUUCCACAUUUUAAUUUACCUGACAAAAGUGAAACACAGUAGGGGAAAUCUAUAGAAAAGAGAUGGGAUGAGGAGGAAGUCCCACUGCACCUUAAUUCUUAUUAUGGCGGGUCUUUUUUUUAUUUUAUUUUUCAAGAAGAAAAUGAAAAAUAAGAAAUCUCAUCCUCCUGGAGAGUUUGGUUACGCGCUGGCCCCGCGGCAAGGGCGACUGCGACUUGGCAACUCCAAAUCAGAAGAAAUAUUCAAGAAAAAACAAAACAAAACAAGAAGAAAAAUCUUUUUUUGAAAAUAAUAAUAAAAAAAAAAAAAAAAUCAUGAGAGAAAAAAGUAACCGUCAAAUCUAUGUGUAUACGUGCCUCGUAUGCGGACUGUCCGUCGAUUCCAGCUGCCUUUUUCUCCACCCAAUGAUACGCCGCCUCUUGUUUAGCUCGUUUGUCUCUAUAGACAAAUAACGAAUUGCUUUAUCGUGGAUGCAAUCUAAAAUUCUAUGCGGUUGAGGUGAAAACAUGGGAGCUACAUUUAAAAAAGGAUGCUGUGUUUUAACGAGCGUGGAACGCGAUGAAUCAGUAGCCGGCCACCGUACGAGAGGGAAGCAAACGUCCAGGAAUCGGCGCUGGACCAGGCUACCGAAUACACGGAAUCUUCGUGCUCUUCGUAAGCGGUUAUCACGCCGUCCGCCAGAGGACUCCGAACAUCGUCAUCUGAAAAAAAAUAAUUCAAUCAUUUUCAGUAUCUUAUUCUAAAUGUCGACAUAAGUUUGCCAAAGGGCUCGGAUGACAAGGACGCUGCUGAAGUUAAAACCACCCGAGCGUCGCUUCCUGCUGUUAACACCAAUUGAUCGUGGAAUACGUUAUACCGUACCUGCCAUACCCUGCCCAUUUGUCACGGAAUCCUGGGACUGUCUCCGUGUGUACUUACCAAUGAUAGUGGUCGUGACGGCUGAGGACGGGACUGCUGAUGUUGCGCACGUCCCAGAAUUUGGUACAUCCGUCGUCGCCGCAUGUGGCCAUGUUAUAAAUCGACCCCUUGUUGAUCGAGCGAAGGUCCACCACUUGCAAGUUCGUCUCCAUGGCUACUGCGAUUUGAUUGGUGCCGUGGUGCGGAGACCAAUUGGCGGCCGUCACUUGAU